GACGAACGCUGGCGGCGCGCCUAACACAUGCAAGUCGAACGAGCGAGAGGAGGUUUACUUUCUCAAGCGAGUGGCGAACGGGUGAGUAACGCGUGAGGAACCUGCCUCAAAGAGGGGGACAACAGUUGGAAACGACUGCUAAUACCGCAUAAGCCCACGACCCGGCAUCGGGUAGAGGGAAAAGGAGCAAUCCGCCUUGAGAUGGCCUCGCGUCCGAUUAGCUAGUUGGUGAGGUAAUGGCCCACCAAGGCGACGAUCGGUAGCCGGACUGAGAGGUUGAACGGCCACAUUGGGACUGAGACACGGCCCAGACUCCUACGGGAGGCAGCAGUGGGGAAUAUUGCACAAUGGGGGAAACCCUGAUGCAGCGACGCCGCGUGGAGGAAGAAGGUCUUCGGAUUGUAAACUCCUGUUGUUGAGGAAGAUAAUGACGGUACUCAACAAGGAAGUGACGGCUAACUACGUGCCAGCAGCCGCGGUAAACGUAGGUCACAAGCGUUGUCCGGAAUUACUGGGUGUAAAGGGAGCGCAGGCGGGAAGACAAGUUGGAAGUGAAAUCCAUGGGCUCAACCAUGAACUGCUUUCAAAACUGUUUUUCUUGAGUAGUGCAGAGGUAGGCGGAAUUCCCGGUGUAGCGGUGGAAUGCGUAGAUAUCGGGAGGAACACCAGUGGCGAAGGCGGCCUACUGGGCACCAACUGACGCUGAGGCUCGAAAGUGUGGGUAGCAAACAGGAUUAGAUACCCUGGUAGUCCACCCUGUAAACGAUGAUUACUAAGUGUUGGAGGAUUGACCCCUUCAGUGCCGCAGUUAACACAAUAAGUAAUCCACCUGGGGAGUACGACCGCAAGGUUGAAACUCAAAGGAAUUGACGGGGGCCCGCACAAGCAGUGGAGUAUGUGGUUUAAUUCGACGCAACGCGAAGAACCUUACCAAGUCUUGACAUCCUGCGACGGUUCUGGAAACAGAACUUUCCUUCGGGACGCAGAGACAGGUGGUGCAUGGUUGUCGUCAGCUCGUGUCGUGAGAUGUUGGGUUAAGUCCCGCAACGAGCGCAACCCUUAUGGUCAGUUACUACGCAAGAGGACUCUGGCCAGACUGCCGUUGACAAAACGGAGGAAGGUGGGGAUGACGUCAAAUCAUCAUGCCCUUUAUGACUUGGGCUACACACGUACUACAAUGGCGUUAAACAAAGAGAAGCAAGACCGCGAGGUGGAGCAAAACUCAGAAACAACGUCCCAGUUCGGACUGCAGGCUGCAACUCGCCUGCACGAAGUCGGAAUUGCUAGUAAUCGCAGAUCAGCAUGCUGCGGUGAAUACGUUCCCGGGCCUU
Molecule: ribosomal RNA, 1331 nt
Filed under: uncultured bacterium
Lineage: Bacteria
Description: bacterial SSU rRNA
Rfam family: Bacterial small subunit ribosomal RNA
Source: RNAcentral